UGCAACUGCACUGAUUUUUCAUCUGAGAGUUGUUGACAGUUUUAUUGCAUUUUAUCACUUUUUAACUAAAUGGAUCAUUAAUUUAUGAAAGAGGACAAAGAGGGUCUUGAUCCCUGUGAUUUAGUGCCAUUACUAGCAGAGAAUACUCGAUAGUGAUUCUGUUAGUGAGUUUGAUGGAUGUUAAUGACUGAUGGAUAAACCACUGAAACGGAAUGCUUUCUUCCAUAUCAUGAUGUUGCAUCCAGAACUGGGAUGGCUGAGGACAAGUCCACAUAGACCUCCGAUCCAGAAACGCCCAUUAAACUAAUGGCAACUAGAGCGAAAUUGGAAACUCCAGAAAAUCCAUUGGGCAACAGAAAACGGCGUCUGGAAAAAUUAGGAAUUAAACUACUGUGUCUGAAAUUAAGUGCAUGAGUUCCAGUGGCCCCUAUUAUCAGUCAAGUGGAACCAUUUGAACAAAACUGAGAGAGGAUGCAAGAGACCAAGUGAAUCCAUUAAGCUGGUCACAAGAAGAAGUCGUUUAACAAGAGCUGUCACAGGAGACAGCACGCUCGACUAUUUCGAAGCUGGAGAGUGAAAUUGGGCACAUCAGGAAGCUGGAGCUCUCACUGUAGUGUAAUGAGGAGCAACUAUUUGAAGUUUGAAUCAAAACAAGUGAGAGUAGUAGUGUAUCACAACAAGGAACCUGAAAUUCUAGUAAAAGGGGGCAUAAUUCAUAGCAUUUUGGUGCCAGCAUCAUGAACAUUGUGUCAUAUGAUUUUGGUGACCAUGUGGACCUGCCGUUUAAAGUUUAUUUAAAAUCCAUUUAGUAACAACAGAGAUACAGUGAAAAAGUAUCAAAAUUAAACUGAAAUUCUAAGUAAUAAAGGGUAAUAAGUCACUAAAUAUUUGUGCCAGAAUUAUGGACCUUGUGUCAUGAUGAGGACGACGAUGUGGAAGAACUAUUUUAAGUUUGAAUCAAAUUCAUCAAGUAAUAACACAGAUAGAGUGAAAGUGUACUAACAUUAACCUGAAAUUCUAAGUAAAAAGGGGGCAUAAUUUAAGAAAUAUUGGUGCCAGGGUUAUGGUCUUUGUGUCAUAAUGAUGUGGGUGAUGAGGUGCUACAACUAUUUUAAGUUUGAAUCAAAUCCCUUUGGUAAUAACAGAUAGAGUGAAAGUGCAUCAAAACUUUAACCUGGAAUUUUAUGUAAAAAGAGGGCAUAAUUCAUGAAAUAUUGGUGCCAGAGUUAUGAACCUUUUGUCAUAUCAUGUGGGUGAUGAUGUGGAACAAAUAUUUUAAGUUUGAAUCAAACCCAUAUAGUAAUAAUUGGGAUAGCGUGAAAGUGCACCAACACUUUAACCUGAAAUUCUAUGUAAAAAGGUGGAAUAAUUAAUAAAAUAUUGGUGUGAGAGUUAUGGCCCUUAUGCCAGAUGAUGUGGGUGAUGAUGAGGAAUUGAAGCAAAACCAUCCAGUAAUUACAGAGAUAAGGAGAAAAAAGAGGAAGUGCAUCAAAACUUUAACCAAGGUGUGGAUGCAGGAAGAUGCCAACACUGGGCCGAGUAGGAUAACUCUCCAUAUACUCUGUAUAGUCGAGCUAAAAAUAAAAAAAGCUAAUGCCAGACCACUGAUGAUAUUUGAUGGAUACAGCCCCUCACGAUAGCUCAUCUUGAACCUUUGGUUCAGGUAAGCUAAAGAUCAUCUCCAAAACUGAGUGAAAGAUUCAGGUGAGCUA
Long non-coding RNA from Mercenaria mercenaria, 1712 nucleotides. RefSeq lists it as uncharacterized. The transcript has 3 exons. The record is from RefSeq and is a predicted model, not a curated record. Lineage: Eukaryota; Metazoa; Mollusca; Bivalvia; Venerida; Veneridae.